AUUCGCGGCCUAUCAGCUUGUUGGUGGGGUGAUGGCCUACCAAGGCGGUGACGGGUAGCCGGCCUGAGAGGGUGUCCGGCCACACUGGGACUGAGACACGGCCCAGACUCCUACGGGAGGCAGCAGUGGGGAAUAUUGCACAAUGGGCGCAAGUCUGAUGCAGCAACGCCGCGUGAGGGACGACGGCCUUCGGGUUGUAAACCUCUUUUAGCAGGGAAGAAGCGAAAGUGACGGUACCUGCAGAAAAAGCACCGGCUAACUACGUGCCAGCAGCCGCGGUAAUACGUAGGGUGCAAGCGUUGUCCGGAAUUAUUGGGCGUAAAGAGCUCGUAGGCGGUUUGUCGCGUCUGCUGUGAAAACGCGAGGCUCAACCUCGCGCCUGCAGUGGGUACGGGCAAACUAGAGUGCGGUAGGGGAGAUUGGAAUUCCUGGUGUAGCGGUGGAUUGCGCAGAUAUCAGGAGGAACACCAAUGGCGAAGGCAGAUCUCUGGGCCGUAACUGACGCUGAGGAGCGAAAGCAUGGGGAGCGAACAGGAUUAGAUACCCUGGUAGUCCAUGCCGUAAACGUUGGGAACUAGAUGUAGGGACCAUUCCACGGUUUCUGUGUCGCAGCUAACGCAUUAAGUUCCCCGCCUGGGGAGUACGGAAU
Molecule: ribosomal RNA, 649 nt
Filed under: uncultured bacterium
Lineage: Bacteria
Description: bacterial SSU rRNA
Rfam family: Bacterial small subunit ribosomal RNA
Source: RNAcentral